UACGUAGGGUCCGAGCGUUGUCCGGAAUUAUUGGGCGUAAAGGGCUCGUAGGCGGUUCGUCACGUCGGGAGUGAAAACUCGAGGCUCAACCUCGAGACGUCGGUUGAAACCGUAAGGCUAGAGUCCGGAAGAGGAGAGUGGAAUUCCCGGUGUAGCGGUGAAAUGCGCAGAUAUCGGGAAGAACACCCGUGGCGAAGGCGGCUCUCUGGGACGGUACUGACGCUGAGACGCGAAAGCGUGGGGAGCGAACAGG
This 253-nucleotide ribosomal RNA is filed under the name uncultured bacterium. RNAcentral's name for it is "partial 16S ribosomal RNA". It matches the Rfam family "Bacterial small subunit ribosomal RNA", at positions 524 to 776 of the family's 1533-position model. The record is from RNAcentral.